CGCCGCGGUUAUACGAGAGGCCCAAGUCGACAGAUUUCGGCGUAAAGGGUGGUUAGGAAAAAUAUAAACUAGAGAAAAACGCUCUUCAAGCUGUUAUACGCCCCAAGAGUAAGAAGCCCCCACGCGAAAGCAACUCUAUAAACAAUCUGAACCCACGACAGCUCUGACA
RNAcentral lists this ribosomal RNA (169 nucleotides) under Synodus oculeus. RNAcentral's name for it is "partial 12S rRNA". The record is from RNAcentral. Lineage: Eukaryota; Metazoa; Chordata; Actinopteri; Aulopiformes; Synodontidae.